CCUUCAAUGUGUAUGCCUUCCCUGCUUCAACCUUAUCAGCUACUGAUUUUUGAUUUUUUGUCAGUUUACUCAUUUUUCUAAUUGAAGUUUUAAAUUAUUUACCAGGGAAGUCCCCUUUUACAGUAAUACCCAUACUUCUUGCAGUACCAGCGAUGAGCUUCAUAGCUGAUUCUACAGUAAAGCAGUUCAAGUCCUUCAUCUUAUCCUCAGCGAUUACCUUUACCUGAUCCCAAGUAAGAGAAGCAACCUUCUGACGAUUAGGCUGAGCAGAACCUGACUUGAUUUUGGCAGCCUCUUUCAAUUGAACUGCAGCAGGUGGAGUUUUGAUAAUAAAAUCAACAGACUUGUCAGUAUGAUAAGUAAUAACUACUGGCAACACUUUACCUGCUUUGUCCUGGGUACGGGCGUUGAAUUCCUUGCAGAAUCCCAUAAUAUUAAUACCCUUAAUCCGGUAAGGCUAAAUACUCCCGUGAGACCGAUAGCGAACGAGUACUGUGAAGGAAAGGUGAAAAGAACCCCGAGCAGGGGAGUGAAAUAGUUCCUGAAACCAUACGCCUACAAGCGGUCGGAGCACAGCAAUGUGUGACGGCGUGCCUUUUGCAUAAUGAUCCUACGAGUUACCGUCACUGGCGAGGUUGAGUGUCAUGAGACACGUAGCCGCAGUGAAAGCGAGCCUGAAUAGGGCGCACAGUCAGUGGGGGUAGACGCGAAACCAAGUGAUCUACACUUGGCCAGGAUGAAGUCCCGGUAACACGGGAUGGAGGUCCGCACCAAUAAGCGUUGAAAAGCUUCUGGAUGAGCCGAGUGUAGGAGUGAAAGGCCAAUCAAACUUGGAGAUAGCUCGUACUCCCCGAAAGGCAUUUAGGUGCCGCGUCGGAUGGUCACCGUGAGAGGUAGAGCGACCGAUAGGACAAGAGGGCUUCACCGCCUAUCGAGUCCUGACGAACUCCGAAUGCUCACGGUCUGCAGUCCGGCAGUAAGGGGGCGGGUGCUAAGGUCCGUCCCCGAGAGGAGAAGAAUCCAGACCGCCGUCUAAGGUCCCGGAGUUCUGCCUGAGUUAGUCUAACGAAGUCUGGUCCCUAUGACAGCUAGGAUGUUGGCUUGGAAGCAGCCAUUCAUUCAAAGAGUGCGUAACAGCUCACUAGUCGAGGGUCCGGGCAUGGAUAAUAAUCGGGUAUAAGGCAGACACCGAAGGCGCGGGAUAGCAUUUAAGAAAGUAUCGGUAGGGGAGCAUACUCACAGCGUCGAAUGGUGUACGUAAGUUAUCCUGGAGCGGUGAGUAAAGCAAAUGUAGGAAUAAGUAACGAUAAGGAGGGUUAGAUUCCCUCCCGCUGUAAGACCAAGGUUUCCCGGGCAAUGCCAAUCAGCCCGGGGUCAGUCGGGUCCUAAGUCUAAGCCGAACGGCGAUGGCGAUGGCAGAGACGGUUAAUAUUCCGUCACUGCCGCAUGGGGCGACGUGGAGACGGAGCAGUGAAACCACCGCGGGGCGACGGAAGUCCCCGUUGAAGAGUGUAGGCGUUGAGGAUGGCAGGCAAAUCCACCAUCCGAGCUGAACUUGACAGUACGGAGUCCUCCUCGGAGGAAUCUGAUAGUGUGGGUAAUCAUACUCCCGAGAAAAUCCGCUAAGCUUAACCCAUGCGGCACCCGUACCGCAAACGGACACACGUGGUCGGGUAGAACAUACUAAGGCGUUGAGAGAUUCAUGGUUAAGGAACUAGGCAAAUUGACCCUGUAACUUCGGGAUAAAGGGUCCUCGUGAUGAGCGAGGCGCAGAGAAUAGGUCCAGGCAACUGUUUAACAAAAACACAGGGCUGUGCAAACUCGAAAGAUGACGUAUACAGCCUGACACCUGCCCGGUGCCGGAAGGUUAAGAGGAGAUGUCACUCGCAAGAGGAAGCAUUGAAUUGAAGCCCCGGUAAACGGCGGCCGUAACUAUAACGGUCCUAAGGUAGCGAAAUUCCUUGUCGGGUAAGUUC
RNAcentral lists this ribosomal RNA (1976 nucleotides) under human gut metagenome. RNAcentral's name for it is "bacterial LSU rRNA". It matches the Rfam family "Bacterial large subunit ribosomal RNA", at positions 273 to 1983 of the family's 2925-position model. The record is from RNAcentral.